RNAcentral lists this long non-coding RNA (2065 nucleotides) under Homo sapiens (human). RNAcentral's name for it is "HSALNT0011368". Lineage: Eukaryota; Metazoa; Chordata; Mammalia; Primates; Hominidae. The record is from RNAcentral.
AACUACACAAUUCUAGAAUUUUUUUAAGCAGGCAAUAAAAUAUUACAAUUUUACCGUCGAAUAUAAAACUGAACAGACCAAGUGGAGACACAUCCCAUGUUUCUGCAUGGAAGAUUAAACAUUAUAUAGAUGUAAACCGUGAACUAAAUAAUAAACUAAAUGCAAACAGUGCUGGGAAUUUUAUGGAACUUCUAGCUGGUUCCAAUGUUCAUAAAAAAGAGUAAAUAAACAGGUUACUAGCACACAUUUGAUACUUCCUACUAUACAGUUGAUCCUUGAACUUCAUGGAUUCACUUUUACGUGGAUUUUUAUUCCACCUCUGCCACCCCUGAGUCAGCAAGACCAACCCUUCUUCUUCCUCAGCCUGCUCAACAUGAAGAUGACAAGAAUGACGAUCUUUAUGUCAAUCCAGUUCCACUUAAUAAAUAAGGCAGAAAUGGAAGUUCAGAUAGAUCAAAGGAUAAUUGAUUUACACUGCAGGGAAGUUGCAGACCUGGGACUUGAAUCCAAAUCUUGUGACUGUAUCUCAAGCCUUUAUUCACUCUACAAGAUUGCCUCUAACCUGGAGUUAUCAUCUGAUUUUAAAAUAUAGCUACAAACAUAUAUACAAUAUCUCCCACAAAUUUCAGGUCAUAAGUUUGACAAAUCCAAUUAAUUUUAAAUGUAUAGAGUUAGAAAAGACUAAUUUCCUGAAAGAUCACUUUGCUUAUUUAUUACAUAGUGAAAGUAUCACAGAUGUGCUAGGGUGCUGUUUAAAAUAGCCAUAGCAAAGGCUUAUUAAGCUUACUGUUAACAAGACAGUCUGUUGUGGUUCCCCCAUAGCCUAUGUAUGUCUUUGUUGAAUAUGUUUAACUGCAAGACCUAAGUGUCUUCUGAUCCAGAACCAUUUACUUAAUUUUUCAUGUAGGGUCUCAAGCAGUUCGAGGUGACUAGAACAUGAAUACCUAGGUCCUGCUUGCUCCCUGCUGGAGGGGAAAAUGGCUUGUUUACUGCUUGCUACAAAUUGUGCUGAACUCCUAGUCCUGGGUUCCCCAGCUGUAAUCACCAUCUGGGCCCACUGUUUUACCUCACAGGACUUGGGGGAAUUUGUUCUACUAUUUGAUGCUCCUGAUGUUUGCUGUGAUGUGAGUAAUAAAUUGUUCUCUGAUCCAAUGUGUCUUGUCUACUCUUGGGAUGUGUGCAACUGUCACAAGUCAAUUUUUUUGCUUAGUCUUCUCUUUUGGAGUCUUGCUACUCUUUGCUCUUCUCUAUGAGAUUGAGGGCUCUUCCCUGACACUUUCCUUUAUUCCCAGCAAUUAUCUAGGCACAUGGUAUUUUGGUUCUUACUUUACAAAUAAGGAAAUUGAGAGACUUAGUACAAAGUAGAAAGUGACAGAACUGAAAUGAAAAUAUGGUGGAUGUUCUCUCUUAAUCAUUACUUUUGAAAGAACAACAACAACAACAACAACAAAAUAGCAAACCUUGAGCUAGGUUCUGACAUUUUUUGAAUAAAUUCCAAGGAUCACCACAUCUGAUAGAAUUGAGAUGCCAUUUCAUUUGUUUUGAAAGUUGCUACUGUUGAUCAAAUCUGAACUCCAUAAUUAUUGCAAUUAUUGUAUUUUCUUCUGGCAGGAUUAGAAUAUAUGAUUCAUUUGUGCGGUAUGCUAGCAGCAAUACUGGUCUUCCUUCAGUGGAGAGGAAAGACUGUGAAGCUAGAAUAGAAAGUAUGGAAAGCACAGUCAAGUUUGUAGCUUUUAGAGGAUAAGGUUGAAGGAUCUUAUCCUAUCUAGAGGAUAAGAUUGAGAAGACUAAUGCCACAAGGAGUUCCUGGAGAUUCCAUUCAGCUCUAAUCCUAGAGCUGGAACCCAGGUAUUGGACUAUCUGAUUGGGGAAAUAGGCUGUAGAAAGAGGUAGAAAGUUCAAAUAGAGCAGACAUGGUGAGGGUAUCAGGAAAAUAUGGGCUCAUUUCAACAACUGCAGCAUCCAGGCCCUGAGUAAUGGAGUUUGUGGAAAUCAGGAUUAUACCUAGCUACAUGAAUUUGGGGGCAUGCCUUUAAUUCCACUAGUGGCUUAGACUAAAAGCGGA